Molecule: small nuclear RNA, 66 nt
Filed under: Fukomys damarensis (Damara mole-rat)
Lineage: Eukaryota; Metazoa; Chordata; Mammalia; Rodentia; Bathyergidae
Description: 7SK RNA
Source: Rfam by way of RNAcentral
UCUGUCUGCAGUAUCUGUCACCCCAUCGAUUGCCAGCUGAUCUGGCUGGCCAAGCGGGUGUCCCCU